Molecule: ribosomal RNA, 422 nt
Filed under: uncultured bacterium
Lineage: Bacteria
Description: bacterial SSU rRNA
Rfam family: Bacterial small subunit ribosomal RNA
Source: RNAcentral
UGAGGAAUAUUGGGCAAUGCCCGCAAGGGUGACCCAGCAACGCCGCGUGGAGGAUGAAUGUCGUAAGAUUGUAAACUCCUGUUAGAGGGGAAGAAUAGUACCGGUUGGACCGGUAUAUGACUGUACCCUCAGAGAAAGCCCCGGCUAACUACGUGCCAGCAGCCGCGGUAAUACGUAGGGGGCAAGCGUUGUCCGGAUUUACUGGGUGUAAAGGGCGCGCAGGCGGGAUAAAAAGUCAGUGGUGAAAUCCUACAGCUUAACUGUAGAACUGCCUUUGAUACUUUUAUUCUUGAGUUUGGGAGAGAGAGACGGAAUUCCAGGUGUAGUGGUGAAAUACGUAGAGAUCUGGAAGAACACCAGUUGCGAAGGCGGUCUCUUGGUCCGACACUGACGCUGAGGCGCGAAAGCGUGGGGAGCAAACA